RNAcentral lists this ribosomal RNA (253 nucleotides) under uncultured bacterium. RNAcentral's name for it is "partial 16S ribosomal RNA". It matches the Rfam family "Bacterial small subunit ribosomal RNA", at positions 524 to 776 of the family's 1533-position model. The record is from RNAcentral.
UACAGAGGUCCCAAGCGUUGUUCGGAAUUACUGGGCGUAAAGGGUGCGCAGGCGGCUCCGCAUGUCAGGCGUGAAAUCCCCGGGCUUAACCUGGGAAUGGCGCUUGAAACUACGGGGCUCGAGUAUGGCAGAGGGAGGUGGAAUUCCACGUGUAGCGGUGAAAUGCGUAGAGAUGUGGAGGAACACCGAUGGCGAAGGCAGCCUCCUGGGCCAAUACUGACGCUCAUGCACGAAAGCGUGGGGAGCAAACAGG